UGCAGAGGCAGGGCUGGGAUUGGACGCAGCCAGGGCUGCCUGCUUUCAGGGCGCCGGAAGCAGGCUAUCCCCGACGGAGCGAGUGCUCCUGCCCGUGGUAGGGUCUGUGAUCUUGAGGACGUCCUCUCUCUCUGAGUGACCCCUCUCGAUUCCCUAGGGCCGCGAUUGCCCUCUGUCCGACUCUCCUGCCUCGGCGCCUGAACGCGGCUUUUUGGGUGGUCCAUUGACCAUGGAAAACAUCCUGUGACUACCCUGGGAUCUACCACCAACAGACAAGAAUCAUGGGACAACUGACCUCAUCACCCACCCCAAGGCCCCUGUACAAGCCAUCCACAAGAACCCCUUGGAGAGCUUGGCUUCUCUUUUCUGGUAACUCCAUUUAGCACAAGUUCUUUUCAAUAAACUCUUAUCUGCUUGA
This is a long non-coding RNA of Eptesicus fuscus (big brown bat), 418 nucleotides long. RefSeq lists it as uncharacterized. The transcript is spliced from 2 exons. The record is from RefSeq and is a predicted model, not a curated record. NCBI's taxonomy places the organism in Eukaryota, Metazoa, Chordata, Mammalia, Chiroptera, Vespertilionidae.